CAGAGAAUAAUUUAAAUGAUUAUAAAAUGUUAAAUUUGGAGUUUAAAAUUGAAAAUAUUUCUUCUUUGA
This 69-nucleotide transfer RNA is filed under the name Bactrothrips quadrituberculatus. RNAcentral describes it as "tRNA-Pro". Lineage: Eukaryota; Metazoa; Arthropoda; Insecta; Thysanoptera; Phlaeothripidae. The record is from RNAcentral.